UCGAGAAUUUUUCUCAAUGGACGAAAGUCUGAAGGAGCGACGCCGCGUGGGGGAUGAAGGGCUUCGGUCCGUAAACCCCUGUCAUUUGCGAACAAACCUUACUAUUGAACAUUUAGUGAGCUGAUUGUAGCGAAAGAGGAAGGGACGGCUAACUCUGUGCCAGCAGCCGCGGUAAUACAGAGGUCCCAAGCGUUGUUCGGAUUCACUGGGCGUAAAGGGUGCGUAGGCGGUGGGGUAAGUCUGGUGUGAAAGCUCGGAGCUCAACUCCGAAAUGUCAUCAGAAACUACUUCACUCGAGGUUUGGAGGGGGGACUGGAAUUCUCGGUGUAGCAGUGAAAUGCGUAGAUAUCGAGAGGAACACCAGUGGCGAAGGCGAGUCCCUGGACAAAUCCUGACGCUGAGGCACGAAAGCUAGGGGAGCAAACAGG
Molecule: ribosomal RNA, 428 nt
Filed under: uncultured bacterium
Lineage: Bacteria
Description: bacterial SSU rRNA
Rfam family: Bacterial small subunit ribosomal RNA
Source: RNAcentral